Molecule: ribosomal RNA, 497 nt
Filed under: uncultured bacterium
Lineage: Bacteria
Description: partial 16S ribosomal RNA
Rfam family: Bacterial small subunit ribosomal RNA
Source: RNAcentral
GAUGAACGCUGGCGGCGUGCCUAAUACAUGCAAGUCGAGCGAACGGACGAGAAGCUUGCUUCUCUGAUGUUAGCGGCGGACGGGUGAGUAACACGUGGAUAACCUACCUAUAAGGCUGGGAUAACUUCGGGAAACCGUAGCUAAUACCGGAUAAUAUUUUGAACCGCAUGGUUCAAAAGUGAAAGACGGUCUGGCUGUCACUUAUAGAUGGAUCCGCGCUGCAUUAGCUAGUUGGUAAGGUAACGGCUUACCAAGGCUACGAUGCAUAGCCGACCUGAGAGGGCGACCGGCCACACUGGAACUGAGACACGGUCCAGACUCCUACGGGAGGCAGCAGUAGGGAAUCUUCGGCAAUGGGCGAAAGCCUGACGGAGCAACGCCGCGUGAGUGAUGAAGGUCUUCGGAUCGUAAACCGCUGUUAUUAGGGAAGAACAUAUGUGUAAGUAACUGUGCACAUCUUGACGGUACCUAAUCAGAAAGCAACGGCUAACUACGUG